CAAACAGCUGAAUUUUUUUUUUUUUUUUGUUUCCACAAUUUGAUUGAUUGAAGAAAUUUUCUCACAAAUUCCAAUAUAUGGAUCAUUUUCAAUUUGAUCAGUUCGAGUGUUUUUUUGUUCUCAUCAUCAACGAUCAUCAACAAUCAACAAUCAUUUCCAUUGUGAUCAUCGUCAAGUUCAACAGUUUGGUGGUUUUUUUUAUUUUUGUUAACUCUCAAAAUUUCAAAAUGGGACGAUUUGUAUUUAAUUGUAAAAAAUUUGCCAUAAUUUAUUGGACAACAUUGACAAUCGUAAUGACAAUAGGCGUUUUUAUUUACGUAUUAAACGAUAAAAAAUUGGCUGAAAUGAUACAAGAAAUAUUUCCAAACAUUUCUUCGGACGAAGUUAAUACUUUAGUGUUGAUUACUGCCAAUAUUUUUUUACUUUCCAGUAUUUUUGUAUCAUCAUUAGGUUUAUUUGGUGCAAUGAAAGAAAAUUUUUCCCUAUCACUUUUAUAUUUGGUAUUGAUUAUCAUGGAUUUUAUACCUAAAUUUAUAUUUGCCAUUAUGGAAAAAUUAUUCUUGAUUCCUAUACUUGUUUAUCUGUUCAUAAUCAUCAUAAUGGUUUCAUUUGUUAUUGAUUUACGUCGAAUGAAUAAUGGAAAUAAUUCCAUUUCAUCAUUGGCUUAAUUUAAUUUAUUUUCAUCAAUCAAUCAAUCAAUCAAUCAACCGACUAACUAACUGGCAAACUAACCGUUAUCAAUUUUUUUUCAAAUGUAUAACAAUUGUUCAUUGAUCAUCAUGAUCAUCAUUAAUAAGAAUGUAAUGCAACAAAAAAAAAUGCAACGUAUUUAUUGGAAUCAAAAUCAUUUUUUUUUUUGACGAUAAAUAAUUCUGUUGAUAAUCUGUUUACUUUAUUUCUCCUAUAUAUCAAGAUUCCACAUAUAUCUAUGUAAUCAAUCAACAGAGACGAUCAUCAAUAUAACUUUACGACGAUAAAUAAACAUGUUGCUUGUCUCUUAUGGUAACGUGAAAAAAAAGAAAUCACUUGUUGCAAUAAAACAGAAAAAUAAACGAAGAACCAUAAACUUGAUUGUGUGUGUGUGUAAAUCCUAAUCCCAUAUUCUCAUUCGCAAUUCAUUUGGUUUUCUGGUUUUUUUUCUGGCCAACAAAUAUCAACCAACAACAAAGUGAACCAAAAAAAAAAAAAAAAAAGGAUCCAUCAUUAAGUUUUAAAUGCAAAAAAUAUUCCAUCAUUAUUUUGACUUCAAUUUCAAUUUUAUUGACAUUAAUUGUUUUCAUUUUUGUUUUUGUAAUCACUGACAAAUUGGCUAUAAUUGUUCAUGAUCAAGAUCCAAAUAUAUCAAUCAAAACAGCCAAGAUUAAAUUAAUGAUUGCUAGUACAAUAUUUUCAAUCAUUUCGAUCGCUUUCGCAUUAAUUGGUUUAUUUGGUGCUAUAAAUGAAAAUUAUUGCCUAUCCAUUACAUAUUCAAUAUUAUGGAUCAUUGGUUUCAUCAUCAAUUCGGUGAAAGCAUUUAUUAUUGGACAAAUUUAUUGGAUACCUUUUAUUAUUGAAUUAUGUUUCAUUUGUUUAUCAGUGUUAUUUGUAUUAGAUUUACGUCGUAUGCAUGUAUAUGAAGAGAUAUGAUGAUUAUUAAAUAACAAGCACACACACACACACAGCAGAAUGUUAAUGAU
Dermatophagoides farinae (American house dust mite) is the source of this 1676-nucleotide non-coding RNA. Lineage: Eukaryota; Metazoa; Arthropoda; Arachnida; Sarcoptiformes; Pyroglyphidae. The record is from RefSeq and is a predicted model, not a curated record.